RNAcentral lists this non-coding RNA (776 nucleotides) under Griseosphinx preechari. Lineage: Eukaryota; Metazoa; Arthropoda; Insecta; Lepidoptera; Sphingidae. The record is from RNAcentral.
AAUAAAUUUUUUAUGGUUUAAAAAUUUUAUUUUAAAUUUGUUUUACAUAUAAAUUUUAGUGUUAUAUAUUAAUUAUUUUAAUAAUAUUUAAUUUUUAUGUAGUAAUUAAUUUUAAAAAUUUAAGAAAUUAAGAUUUAGUAAUAUUUAAAUUAAUAACUAAUUUUGUGCCAGCAGUUGCGGUUAUACAAAAAUUAAAAUAAAAUUUUUUAGUUUUAAUAAUUAAUUAAAUAUGAAUAAUUUAAAUUUAAAAUUAUUAAGUGAAAUUUUAAUUUUAUAAAAAAUUAUUUUAUAAUUAUGAAAUUAGUAAAUUUUAUAAAAAACUAGGAUUAGAUACCCUAUUAUUAAAAACUUAAAUUUAAUAAUACUAAAAUAGUAGAUAUUUUUAUUGAAACUUAAAUAAUUUGGCGGUAUUUUAGUAUAUUUAGAGGAAUCUGUUUAAUAAUUGAUAAUCCACGAAUAAAUUUACUUAAUUUAUUAUUUUGUAUAUCGUUGUUAAAAAAAUAUUUUAAUAUAAUAAUAAUAUUUAAAAAUUUAAAUUAAAAAUUAAAUCAGAUCAAGAUGCAGAUUAUAAUUAAGAAUAUAAUGGAUUACAAUAAAUUUAUUUAAAUUGAAUUUUUAUAUGAAAUAAUAAAAUGAAAUUGGAUUUAAAUGUAAUUUUAUUUAAAUUAAUAAAAUGAUUAAUAAUUAAAAUAUGUACAUAUUGCCCGUCGCUUUCAUUUAUAAAUUGGAAUAAGUCGUAACAAAGUAGAGGUACUGGAAAGUGUUUCUAGAAAGAU